RNAcentral lists this ribosomal RNA (253 nucleotides) under uncultured bacterium. RNAcentral's name for it is "partial 16S ribosomal RNA". It matches the Rfam family "Bacterial small subunit ribosomal RNA", at positions 524 to 776 of the family's 1533-position model. The record is from RNAcentral.
UACGUAGGGUGCGAGCGUUGUCCGGAAUUAUUGGGCGUAAAGAGCUUGUAGGCGGUUUGUCGCGUCUGCUGCGAAAAUCCGGGGCUCAACCCCGGACUUGCAGUGGGUACGGGCAGACUAGAGUGUGGUAGGGGAGACUGGAAUUCCUGGUGUAGCGGUGGAAUGCGCAGAUAUCAGGAGGAACACCGAUGGCGAAGGCAGGUCUCUGGGCCACUACUGACGCUGAGAAGCGAAAGCAUGGGGAGCGAACAGG